GAUGAACGCUGGCGGCGUGCCUAAUACAUGCAAGUCGAGCGAACAGACGAGGAGCUUACUCUUCUGACGUUAGCGGCGGACGGGUGAGUAACACGUAGAUAGCCUACCUAUAUGACUGGGAUAACUGCGGGAAACCGGAACUAAUACCGGAUAACAUGUCUAACCGGAUGGUUCAAGAGAGAUAGGCGGUCUUGCUGUCACUUAUAGAUGGAUCCGCUUCGCAUUAGCUAGUUGGUAAGGUAACGGCUUACCAAGGCAGCGAUGCGUAGCCGACCUGAGAGCGUGAUCCGCCACACUGGGACUGAGACACGGUCCAGACUCCUAGGGGAGGCAGCAGUAGGGAAUCUUGGGAAAUGGGGGAAAGCCUGACGGAGCGACGCCGCGCGAGUGAAGAAGGUCUGCGGGUCGUAAAACGCUGUUAUUGGGGAAGAACAAAUGCGUAAGUAACUAAGCAUGUUUUGACGGUACCUAAUAAAAAAGCAACGGCUAACUACGUG
Molecule: ribosomal RNA, 497 nt
Filed under: uncultured bacterium
Lineage: Bacteria
Description: partial 16S ribosomal RNA
Rfam family: Bacterial small subunit ribosomal RNA
Source: RNAcentral